This 941-nucleotide ribosomal RNA is filed under the name Salmonella enterica subsp. enterica serovar Durham. Its description in RNAcentral is "partial 23S ribosomal RNA". It matches the Rfam family "Bacterial large subunit ribosomal RNA", at positions 711 to 1569 of the family's 2925-position model. The record is from RNAcentral. Lineage: Bacteria; Pseudomonadati; Pseudomonadota; Gammaproteobacteria; Enterobacterales; Enterobacteriaceae.
AGACCCGAAACCCGGUGAUCUAGCCAUGGGCAGGUUGAAGGUUGGGUAACACUAACUGGAGGACCGAACCGACUAAUGUUGAAAAAUUAGCGGAUGACCUGUGGCUGGGGGUGAAAGGCCAAUCAAACCGGGAGAUAGCUGGUUCUCCCCGAAAGCUAUUUAGGUAGCGCCUCGUGAAUUCAUCUCCGGGGGUAGAGCACUGUUUCGGCUAGGGGGCCAUCCCGGCUUACCAACCCGAUGCAAACUGCGAAUACCGGAGAAUGUUAUCACGGGAGACACACGGCGGGUGCUAACGUCCGUCGUGAAGAGGGAAACAACCCAGACCGCCAGCUAAGGUCCCAAAGUCAUGGUUAAGUGGGAAACGAUGUGGGAAGGCCCAGACAGCCAGGAUGUUGGCUUAGAAGCAGCCAUCAUUUAAAGAAAGCGUAAUAGCUCACUGGUCGAGUCGGCCUGCGCGGAAGAUGUAACGGGGCUAAACCAUGCACCGAAGCUGCGGCAGCGAACGUAUCACUUAAAGCGAUUCAGCGGGUUACGAUUGACGGAGCGAAGCGACGUCAAAGCGUAUACAAAGUCGAGUCGGUUUAAGGAUACGUUCGUUGGGUAGGGGAGCGUUCUGUAAGCCUGCGAAGGUGGCCUGUGAGGGUUGCUGGAGGUAUCAGAAGUGCGAAUGCUGACAUAAGUAACGAUAAAGCGGGUGAAAAGCCCGCUCGCCGGAAGACCAAGGGUUCCUGUCCAACGUUAAUCGGGGCAGGGUGAGUCGACCCCUAAGGCGAGGCCGAAAGGCGUAGUCGAUGGGAAACGGGUUAAUAUUCCCGUACUUGGUGUUACUGCGAAGGGGGGACGGAGAAGGCUAUGUUGGCCGGGCGACGGUUGUCCCGGUUUAAGCGUGUAGGUGUGUGUUCCAGGUAAAUCCGGUUCACUUUAACACUGAGGCGUGACGA